RNAcentral lists this ribosomal RNA (504 nucleotides) under uncultured bacterium. RNAcentral's name for it is "partial 16S ribosomal RNA". It matches the Rfam family "Bacterial small subunit ribosomal RNA", at positions 28 to 523 of the family's 1533-position model. The record is from RNAcentral.
GAUAAACGCUAGCGGCAGGCUUAACACAUGCAAGUCGAGGGGCAGCAUAGAUUGUAGCAAUACAAUUGGUGGCGACCGGCGCACGGGUGCGUAACGCGUAUGCAACCUACCCGUCACAGGGGGAUAAUCCGGAGAAAUCUGGUCUAAUACCCCAUAACAUAUGGAUCGGCAUCGGUUCAUGUUGAAAUUUUCGGAGGUGACGGAUGGGCAUGCGUAGCAUUAGCUUGGGGGUGAGGUAACGGCUCACCAAGGCGACGAUGCUUAGGGGGGCGGAGGGGUUUGCCCCCCACACUGGUACUGAGACACGGACCAGACUCCUACGGGAGGCAGCAGUGAGGAAUAUUGGUCAAUGGGCGCAAGCCUGAACCAGCCAUGCCGCGUGCAGGAUGACGGCUCUAUGAGUUGUAAACUGCUUUUGUACGAGGGUAAAGUGGGUUACGUGUAACCUUUUGAAAGUAUCGUACGAAUAAGGAUCGGCUAACUCCGUGCCAGCCGCCGCGGUAA